RNAcentral lists this ribosomal RNA (482 nucleotides) under uncultured bacterium. RNAcentral describes it as "bacterial SSU rRNA". It matches the Rfam family "Bacterial small subunit ribosomal RNA", at positions 8 to 507 of the family's 1533-position model. The record is from RNAcentral.
AGAGUUUGAUCAUGGCUCAGGACGAACGCUGGCGGCGCGCUUAAUACAUGCAAGUCGAACGAGAAGCCAGAGCUUGCUCUGGUGGGAAAGUGGCGAACGGGUGAGUAACACGUGAGAAACCUGCCCCAAAGAUUGGGAUAAGCCUUGGAAACGAGGUCUAAUACCAAAUACCUUCUUUUAACACAUGUUAAAAGAAGAAAUGCUCCGGCGCUUUGGGAUGGUCUCGCGAUCUAUCAGCUUGUUGGUGAGGUAACGGCUCACCAAGGCAUCGACGGAUAGCUGGUCUGAGAGGAUGUCCAGCCACAUUGGAACUGAGACACGGUCCAAACUCCUACGGGAGGCAGCAGUAGGGAAUCUUGCACAAUGAGGGAAACCUUGAUGCAGCGACGCCGCGUGCGGGACGAAGGCCCUAGGGUUGUAAACCGCUUUCAGUAGGGACGAAAGUGACGGUACCUACAGAAGAAGCCCCGGCCAACUAUGUG